UGGGGAAUUUUGCACAAUGGGGGAAACCCUGAUGCAGCGACGCCGCGUGAUUUAGAAGGCCUUCGGGUUGUAAAAAUCUUUUUUACGGGAUGAAAAUGACAGUACCGUAAGAAUAAGGUCCGGCUAAAUACGUGCCAGCAGCCGCGGUAAUACGUAUGGACCGAGCGUUGUCCGGAAUCAUUGGGCGUAAAGGGUACGUAGGCGGCCUAGUAAGUUAGAAGUGAAAUAAUAUAGCUCAACUAUAUAAAGCUUUUAAAACUGCUAGGCUUGAGAGAUGGAAGGGAAAGUGGAAUUCCUAGUGUAGCGGUGAAAUGCGCAGAUAUUAGGAAGAAUACCGGUGGCGAAGGCGACUUUCUGGUUAUCAUCUGACGCUGAGGUACGAAAGCGUGGGUAGCAAACAGG
Molecule: ribosomal RNA, 402 nt
Filed under: bacterium
Lineage: Bacteria
Description: partial 16S ribosomal RNA
Rfam family: Bacterial small subunit ribosomal RNA
Source: RNAcentral